UUUCUCAUUUCUUAUUCAUUCUUUCCCGAAACCAUCUCUCUUCUCUCUCGUUCGUGGGCGAUAAAAAAGGCGAAGAAUCGCCAUUGGAAAAAUCAAUCGAUUCAUAUCGAAUCGUUGAAUUUUCUGGCUAAAUCUCGAUGGUUGCUUUCUCAUUGGAAGUUUUCCUCUGUUUGAUUCCUGUGAAAAAGAUCAAAUCUUUGCUUUCUUUUUGUGAUAAUUUUAUUUCCCCCUCUCUGUAUCAUCAUUUGCGUUUUUGGUUAAUGAAGAAGAGGAUCUGAGAUUAGGGAGAGAUUUUUAUGGAUUGAUGGGUUUUGCUGUACCGGAUGAAUUGCUAGGAACUGUGGCUCCGAUUGUGGUGUAUUGGUUGUAUUCUAGGAUUACAUUCAAAGACUGAAGAAGCAGAGAAGAAUCUUGUUUCGAAAUCUUCUGUAGUCAAAGGUGUUCUUCUUCAGCAGGUUGUUCAAGCUGUUGUCGCUAUCCUUUUGUUCACGGCUGGUGAAGCUUCAAAGAGAGCUGGUGAGGCUGCAGAGCUAGCAAAAAGCCGUCUCCACCAGAUGAACGAUGACCUUCAAGUUCACUGCAGAAUACCCGUGAGUUAUCCAUAAUCAAUUGUCUCAUUCUGCUUUAUGUUAAGACUAGUUUAGUUGAAGCAAUUUAAAAACACAUGAUUCUCACUGCCAUAUAUUUGUCUCGAGAACGAACAACGAGCAAGAGUGAAUUUUGCUCAUUACAUCCACGAGAAGACGAUCCUUAAAGCAUCCCAACUCGGGAUUAUCUUGUGAUUGCAUUUCCAAGCUUUCAUUUCAAGUUUAGUUUCUAAUUUAUUUGCAGAAUCCACAAUGUGUAUAAGAAAACUCAAAUCUUGUUGCAAUAUGAAACAGCAAAUUGAGUCUCCAAUAUGAAAAUGUUGCUGAUUAUGUUAGUUUAAGUUUGAUAUUUUGGGUAAAGAACAAAAAAAACAUUUUGGUUGUUAUGUUAAAAAAUUAUUAUUUAAAUGAUUGAGCAACCUUUUUUGGGUUCAUUUGUAAAAGAAUGAUUUUGCAAAAAUAUUCUUAAAGUUACUUUACUUAAAUUAGUAUUAAUUAUAUGAUUAAUUAAUUUGAAAGUAACUUAGGAGAGGCACUCACUAAGAACGGCAAGAACGGAACCAAAUGGAACUGAAGAACCAAAACGUCGCUAUAUACAUACAUAGAAAUUAAUAGUUUUUUUAAUAAUAAGCAUAAGGGUUGUGGACCACGUCCUUUUGUUUGGUCGUCGAGUUCUGACUUUUUC
Non-coding RNA from Camelina sativa (false flax), 1272 nucleotides. The record is from RefSeq and is a predicted model, not a curated record. NCBI's taxonomy places the organism in Eukaryota, Viridiplantae, Streptophyta, Magnoliopsida, Brassicales, Brassicaceae.